UACGGAGGGGACUAGCGUUGUUCGGAAUUACUGGGCGUAAAGCGCACGUAGGCGGAUUUGUAAGUCAGGGGUGAAAUCCCGGGGCUCAACCCCGGAACUGCCUUUGAUACUGCGAAUCUCGAGUCCGGAAGAGGUGAGUGGAAUUCCUAGUGUAGAGGUGAAAUUCGUAGAUAUUCGCAAGAACACCAGUGGCGAAGGCGGCUCACUGGCCCGAUACUGACGCUGAGGUGCGAAAGCGUGGGGAGCAAACAGG
This 253-nucleotide ribosomal RNA is filed under the name uncultured bacterium. Its description in RNAcentral is "partial 16S ribosomal RNA". It matches the Rfam family "Bacterial small subunit ribosomal RNA", at positions 524 to 776 of the family's 1533-position model. The record is from RNAcentral.